Molecule: ribosomal RNA, 350 nt
Filed under: uncultured eukaryote
Lineage: Eukaryota
Description: SSU rRNA
Rfam family: Eukaryotic small subunit ribosomal RNA
Source: RNAcentral
AGCUCCAAUAGCGUAUAUUAAAGUUGUUGCAGUUAAAAAGCUCGUAGUCUGAUUUUUGGGGGGCAAGGCGCGUCCGGGCUAUUGGCCUGUGCACGGCGCUUUGUCUGCCAUUGCCUUCGGAGGAGGCGUGGUGCUAUUAAUUUAGUGUCGCGUUUAUUCCGAUAGUUUACUUUGAGAAAAAUAGAGUGUUCAAAGCAGGCGAUUGCCUUGAAUACAUUAGCAUGGGAUAAUGGAAUAGGACGUUGGUUCUAUUUUUGAUGGUUUACGGACCGACGUAAUGAUUAAUAGGGACAGUUGGGGGACAUUUGAUUCCAUGGCUAGAGGUGAAAUUCUUGGAUUCAUGGAAAGAC